This 253-nucleotide ribosomal RNA is filed under the name uncultured bacterium. RNAcentral's name for it is "partial 16S ribosomal RNA". It matches the Rfam family "Bacterial small subunit ribosomal RNA", at positions 524 to 776 of the family's 1533-position model. The record is from RNAcentral.
UACGAAGGGGGCUAGCGUUGUUCGGAAUCACUGGGCGUAAAGGGCGCGUAGGCGGCCGAUCAAGUCGGGGGUGAAAGCCUGUGGCUCAACCACAGAAUUGCCUUCGAUACUGGUUGGCUUGAGACCGGAAGAGGUAAGUGGAACUGCGAGUGUAGAGGUGAAAUUCGUAGAUAUUGGGAAGAACACCGGUGGCGAAGGCGGCUCACUGGCUCAUUUCUGACGCUCAGGCGCGACAGCGUGGGGAUCAAACAGG